AAAGCGCGAAAUGUAAUGUGAAUUGCAGAAUUCAGUGAAUCAUCGAAUCUUUGAACGCACAUUGCGCCCCCUGGUAUUCCGGGGGGCAUGCCUGUUCGAGCGUCAUUUCACCACUCAAGCCUCGCUUGGUAUUGGGCGACGCGGUCCGCCGCGCGCCUCAAAUCGACCGGCUGGGUCUUUCGUCCCCUCAGCGUUGUGGAAACUAUUCGCUAAAGGGUGCCGCGGGAGGCCACGCCGUAAAACAACCCCAUUUCUAAGGUUGACCUCGGAUCAGGUAGGGAUACCCGCUGAACUUAAGC
RNAcentral lists this unclassified non-coding RNA (299 nucleotides) under plant metagenome. RNAcentral's name for it is "partial contains 5.8S ribosomal RNA, internal transcribed spacer 2, and large subunit ribosomal RNA". The stretch from base 1 to 105 matches the Rfam family "5.8S ribosomal RNA", at positions 50 to 154 of the family's 154-position model. The record is from RNAcentral.